GACGUCGAAUAUCGACGUCAUAAACACCAAAGUUGAUCGUGUUUAUGACGUCGAAUAUCGACGUCAUAAACACCGGCAAGUUGAAUGUUUAUGACGUCGAAUAUCGACGUCAUAAACACCAAAGUUGAUUGUUUAUGACGUCGAGCUGAUCGUGUUUAUGACGUCGUAUAUCGACGUCAUAAACACCAAAGUUGAUCGUGUUUAUGACGUCGAAUAUCGACGUCAUAAACACCAAAGUUGAUGGUGUUUAUCACGUCGCAUAUCGACGUC
Molecule: microRNA precursor, 270 nt
Filed under: Paramuricea clavata
Lineage: Eukaryota; Metazoa; Cnidaria; Anthozoa; Malacalcyonacea; Plexauridae
Source: RNAcentral